Molecule: ribosomal RNA, 423 nt
Filed under: Trochomorpha rhysa
Lineage: Eukaryota; Metazoa; Mollusca; Gastropoda; Stylommatophora; Trochomorphidae
Description: partial large subunit ribosomal RNA
Rfam family: Archaeal large subunit ribosomal RNA
Source: RNAcentral
GUAAUACCUGCCCAGUGAUUAUUUUAACGGCCGCAGUACUUUGACUGUGCUAAGGUAGCAUAAUAAAUUGGCUUUUAAUUGGAGUCUAGAAUGAACGGAUAAAUGAAUAAAAUCUUUUUCAAUUUAAAUUUUAAGAAGUUACUUAAAAGGUGAAAAUUCCUUUAAUAAUUUAAAUAGACGAGAAGACCCUAGGAGUUUUUUAUUUUGUUGGGGCGACAUUACAGCAAACUAUCAAACCUGUAAUAAUAAAAAGUAAUUCAACAAAUUUAUUUAAAAAAUUUAAACUACCCUAGGGAUAACAGCAUAAUUUAACUUUUUAAGUUUGUGACCUCGAUGUUGGAUUAGGAAAAUUUAAUAUUAACUGUAUUAAAGUUUUGUUCUGUUCGAACAAUAUUCUCCUACAUGAUCUGAUUUCAAACCGGA